GGUUAAGCGACUAAGCGUACACGGUGGAUGCCCUGGCAGUCAGAGGCGAUGAAGGACGUGCUAAUCUGCGAAAAGCGCCGGCGAGGUGAUAUGAACCUUUGACCCGGCGAUGUCCGAAUGGGGAAACCCAGUGUGAUUCGUCACACUAUCGUUAACUGAAUACAUAGGUUAACGAGGCGAACCGGGGGAACUGAAACAUCUAAGUACCCCGAGGAAAAGAAAUCAACCGAGAUUCCCCCAGUAGCGGCGAGCGAACGGGGAGCAGCCCAGAGUCUGAAUCAGCUUGUGUGUUAGUGGAAGCGUCUGGAAAGUCGCACGGUACAGGGUGACAGUCCCGUACACGAAAAUGCACAGGUUGUGAACUCGAAGAGUAGGGCGGGACACGUGGUAUCCUGUCUGAAUAUGGGGGGACCAUCCUCCAAGGCUAAAUACUCCUGACUGACCGAUAGUGAACCAGUACCGUGAGGGAAAGGCGAAAAGAACCCCGGCGAGGGGAGUGAAAAAGAACCUGAAACCGUGUACGUACAAGCAGUGGGAGCACCUUCGUGGUGUGACUGCGUACCUUUUGUAUAAUGGGUCAGCGACUUAUAUUCUGUAGCAAGGUUAACCGUAUAGGGGAGCCGAAGGGAAACCGAGUCUUAACUGGGCGUUAAGUUGCAGGGUAUAGACCCGAAACCCGGUGAUCUAGCCAUGGGCAGGUUGAAGGUUGGGUAACACUAACUGGAGGACCGAACCGACUAAUGUUGAAAAAUUAGCGGAUGACUUGUGGCUGGGGGUGAAAGGCCAAUCAAACCGGGAGAUAGCUGGUUCUCCCCGAAAGCUAUUUAGGUAGCGCCUCGUGAACUCAUCUUCGGGGGUAGAGCACUGUUUCGGCUAGGGGGCCAUCCCGGCUUACCAACCCGAUGCAAACUACGAAUACCGAAGAAUGUUAUCACGGGAGACACACGGCGGGUGCUAACGUCCGUCGUGAAGAGGGAAACAACCCAGACCGCCAGCUAAGGUCCCAAAGUCAUGGUUAAGUGGGAAACGAUGUGGGAAGGCACAGACAGCCAGGAUGUUGGCUUAGAAGCAGCCAUCAUUUAAAGAAAGCGUAAUAGCUCACUGGUCGAGUCGGCCUGCGCGGAAGAUGUAACGGGGCUAAACCAUGCACCGAAGCUGCGGCAGCGACACUAUGUGUUGUUGGGUAGGGGAGCGUUCUGUAAGCCGUUGAAGGUGGCCUGUGAGGGUUGCUGGAGGUAUCAGAAGUGCGAAUGCUGACAUAAGUAACGAUAAAGCGGGUGAAAAGCCCGCUCGCCGGAAGACCAAGGGUUCCUGUCCAACGUUAAUCGGGGCAGGGUGAGUCGACCCCUAAGGCGAGGCCGAAAGGCGUAGUCGAUGGGAAACAGGUUAAUAUUCCUGUACUUGGUGUUACUGCGAAGGGGGGACGGAGAAGGCUAUGUUAGCCGGGCGACGGUUGUCCCGGUUUAAGCAUGUAGGCGGAACGAUUAGGUAAAUCCGGUCGUUUAUUAACGCUGAGGUGUGAUGACGAGGCACUACGGUGCUGAAGUAACAAAUGCCCUGCUUCCAGGAAAAGCCUCUAAGCAUCAGGUAACAUCAAAUCGUACCCCAAACCGACACAGGUGGUCAGGUAGAGAAUACCAAGGCGCUUGAGAGAACUCGGGUGAAGGAACUAGGCAAAAUGGUGCCGUAACUUCGGGAGAAGGCACGCUGAUAUGUAGGUGAAGCCCCUGCGGGUGGAGCUGAAAUCAGUCGAAGAUACCAGCUGGCUGCAACUGUUUAUUAAAAACACAGCACUGUGCAAACACGAAAGUGGACGUAUACGGUGUGACGCCUGCCCGGUGCCGGAAGGUUAAUUGAUGGGGUUAGCGGCAACGCGAAGCUCUUGAUCGAAGCCCCGGUAAACGGCGGCCGUAACUAUAACGGUCCUAAGGUAGCGAAAUUCCUUGUCGGGUAAGUUCCGACCUGCACGAAUGGCGUAAUGAUGGCCAGGCUGUCUCCACCCGAGACUCAGUGAAAUUGAACUCGCUGUGAAGAUGCAGUGUACCCGCGGCAAGACGGAAAGACCCCGUGAACCUUUACUAUAGCUUGACACUGAACACUGGUCCUUGAUGUGUAGGAUAGGUGGGAGGCUUUGAAGUGUGGACGCCAGUCUGCAUGGAGCCGUCCUUGAAAUACCACCCUUUAAUGGCUGGUGUUCUAACGUAGACCCGUGAUCCGGGUUGCGGACAGUGUCUGGUGGGUAGUUUGACUGGGGCGGUCUCCUCCCAAAGAGUAACGGAGGAGCACGAAGGUUAGCUAAUCCUGGUCGGACAUCAGGAGGUUAGUGCAAUGGCAUAAGCUAGCUUGACUGCGAGAGUGACGGCUCGAGCAGGUGCGAAAGCAGGUCAUAGUGAUCCGGUGGUUCUGAAUGGAAGGGCCAUCGCUCAACGGAUAAAAGGUACUCCGGGGAUAACAGGCUGAUACCGCCCAAGAGUUCAUAUCGACGGCGGUGUUUGGCACCUCGAUGUCGGCUCAUCACAUCCUGGGGCUGAAGUAGGUCCCAAGGGUAUGGCUGUUCGCCAUUUAAAGUGGUACGCGAGCUGGGUUUAGAACGUCGUGAGACAGUUCGGUCCCUAUCUGCCGUGGGCGCUGGAGAAUUGAGGGGGGCUGCUCCUAGUACGAGAGGACCGGAGUGGACGCAUCACUGGUGUUCGGGUUGUCAUGCCAAUGGCACUGCCCGGUAGCUAAAUGCGGAAAAGAUAAGUGCUGAAAGCAUCUAAGCACGAAACUUGCCCCGAGAUGAGUUCUCCCUGAGACUUUAAGUCUCCUGAAGGAACGUUGAAGACGACGACGUUGAUAGGUCGGGUGUGUAAGCGCAGCGAUGCGUUGAGCUAACCGAUACUAAUGAACCGUGAGGCUUAACCUU
Molecule: ribosomal RNA, 2905 nt
Filed under: Enterobacter sp.
Lineage: Bacteria; Pseudomonadati; Pseudomonadota; Gammaproteobacteria; Enterobacterales; Enterobacteriaceae
Description: 23S ribosomal RNA
Rfam family: Bacterial large subunit ribosomal RNA
Source: RNAcentral